This 30-nucleotide non-coding RNA is filed under the name Rattus norvegicus (Norway rat). Lineage: Eukaryota; Metazoa; Chordata; Mammalia; Rodentia; Muridae. The record is from RNAcentral.
UGGAUUGGCCUGAGGGCAUGUCUGGGAGGA